CUUUAGAAAAAUAAUUAAAGGUUAAUCCUGCCCAGUGAAUUCUUCAACGGCCGCGGUACCCUGACCGUGCAAAGGUAGCAUAAUCACUUGCCUUUUAAUUGUAGGCUAGAAUGAAUGGAUAAACGAGAUAAAAGCUGUCUCAUCUUUAUUAUAUGUAAAUUAGCCUUUAGGUGAAGAGACCUAAAUAUAUAAAAAAGACAAGAAGACCCUAUUGAGUUUUAUAUGUUUAUAACUUCUUUACACACAUAUUUGGUUGGGGCGACCAAGGAAUAACAAUAUCUUCCUUCUAUACUACUGAUAUAUUUAUCUAUUAAACCCUUUUGACCCAAUUAAAUUGAUCAACAAAAUUAACUACCAUAGGGAUAACAGGCUAAUCUUUCUUAAGAGUCCAUAUUGACAGAAAGGCUUGGCACCUCGAUGUUGGCUUAGGGUAACUAAUUAGAUGCAGAAGUCAAUUAAGUUAGUUUGUUCAACUAUUAAUCCCCUACGUGAUCUGA
Molecule: ribosomal RNA, 497 nt
Filed under: Laetmonice hystrix
Lineage: Eukaryota; Metazoa; Annelida; Polychaeta; Phyllodocida; Aphroditidae
Description: partial 16S ribosomal RNA
Rfam family: Bacterial large subunit ribosomal RNA
Source: RNAcentral